AAACUGUGGUGUUAGAGAAGACUCUUGAGAGUCCUUUGGACUGCAAGGAGAUCAAACCAGUUAGUCAUAAAGGAACUCAAUCCUGAAUAUUCAUUGGAGGGACCGAUGCUGAAGCUGAAGCUGAAUACUUUGGCCACCUGAUGUGAAGAGCUGAUUUAUUGGAAAAGGCCCUGAUGCUGGGAAAGAUUGAAGGUAGAAGGAGAAAGGGAUGACAGAGGAUGAGAUGGUUGGAUGGCAUCACAGACUCAAUGGACAUGAGUUUGAGCAAGCUCCAGGAGAUGGUGAUGGACAGGGAGUCCUGAUGUGCUGCAGUCCAUGGGGUCACAAAGAGUCAGGCACAACUGAGUGACUGAACAACCUGUAGCUUAGCAUGCCUAGUACUUUUUGUUGUUGUUCAUCAUAGAACACUGUUAAUGAGAAGUUGUAGAGGCUCUGUAUGAUGUUAACUUGGUCUAGCAAGUAUUUCUUUUUCUUCUAGAAGGCAGUUAGAGAAGAGAGAUUGGGAUCAUCCGGGGCCAGGUUUCCACCUUCUUAAGACCUGGUCUAAUUUAGUUUGUCCUUAAUCCCCAUGUACUGUACAGGGUCUCAUUUGUAAGUCUGGGGGAUUUUUCAGCAGGGUGCUCCUCUUCCCUGGUUCGACCUGACCUCCAAGAGACAGCCACACCCUCUGCUGAGCCUCUUAGCCUUUGAGCUCUUACAUUUAUUUGGCUCCUUGGUUUCUCAUUCCUCCUGCUUUGAGACCAGCAAGGCAUCUUGAAGGUUGAACAGAAUAUGAGCUCACUUCUCUGCGUGCGCUUUUAUCCAGGUGCUCAGCUUGAGAAUUCCAUGGACUGCACAGUCCAUGGGGUCGCAAAGAGUCGGACACGACUGAGAGACUUUCACUUUCACUUGGCUUCUCAAGGGCUGAGUCCCCGUUUGUGCCUCCCCUGUCUGGGGAGAUCCUUGAGAAUCUCAGUGGCCACUCUUUGCUCAGCCUGAAGGCCUGGAUCACUUUCAAACCAGCAAAUGUCUCACAAGGAAGAGGGGUAGCAAGUCAGGCUUAAAUAAAUGGGCUUUCCUGGGACUUCCCUGGCUAUCCAGGAGUUGGGACCUCCUUCCAAUGCAUAAGGUGUGAGUUCAAUCACUGGUCCAAGAGCCAAGAUUCCACAUGCAUCAUGGCCAAAAAGAAUAAAACAGGCAGAACAUAAAACAGAAGCAACAUUGUAACAAAUUCAAUAAAGUCUUUAAAAAUGGUCUGCAUCAAAAAUAAAUCUUAAAAAAAUUAAAGUAAAUGGGCUUUUCUUCUCAGUGGGGUCCUGGACCCUCGAGUCUAGCUGCCUUGUUGCUCUCCAAUAUCUUCAAACAAAUCUUAAAAAACCUACCACUUAUAAUUGCUCUUAGUGGAAGGUUAGUCUGUCACCACCUAUUUCAUGGUGGGAGUUGAAGUCUCAUCAUUGAUUAUUUGUCUCAGCUCCCAUUCGUUGAGUUUGGCUCUGUGUUCCAGGUACCAUACCUAAGCUUUUUCAUGCUUUUCAAAAAAGGAAUCCUCAGAACAGACCAUUGAGGUAGGUGCUAUGGCUGUCCCCAUUUCACAGGUGGAGAACCUGAGUCAGAAAAGGUGAAAAGAUUUGCCCAGGAUCAGGCAAUCAUAAAAAAGAUACAGAACUUGAAUCCAGAUAUAACUGACACCAAAGCCAACCUUUAACUGAUAGACAACCAGCCUCUCCAGUCUAGCUUUGAGGUUAAGAGCUGGCUCUAGGGACUCCUUUCUCCAUGAAGCCCUCCUAGAAUACUCCAAGUGUCUCUCUCACCUCUGCUCUUCUAUUGCAACGACUGUGUAUGCCAAGAUCCCCAUGUGCUCCCACUGAGAAUGUUGGCACCCUGGGUAUCCUGAAGGUACAGUCCCUGAGGGCGGGCCUCACACACGCCUGGCACAGCCGAUGCAGACUGGGGCUCAGAGAGGGAGAGCGCAUGGAGGAGAUGGAGUAUAGAGGGAGAGCUUGUUCAUUCCUGGGGCAGGUACAGUUCCGGGAGAGCACGUGGAGGAGGUGGAGUACAGGGGGAGAGCUUGUUCAUUCCUGGGGCAGGUACAGUUCCCAUCUCUGGGCGAGCCCCAGUGGUUGUGUCACAGGCUGGGGCGGGCAGGGAUGGAUGAUUGUUUUCAGAGCUCUCUGUUUCUCCUUCCU
Long non-coding RNA from Bos taurus (domestic cattle), 2165 nucleotides. The record is from Ensembl. Lineage: Eukaryota; Metazoa; Chordata; Mammalia; Artiodactyla; Bovidae.